GUGAGGAAUAUUGCGCAAUGGAGGCAACUCUGACGCAGCCAUGCCGCGUGCAGGAAGAAGGCGCUACGCGUUGUAAACUGCUUUUAACCGGGAAGAAACCCCAGGACGUGUCCUGGGUUGACGGUACCGGAGGAAUAAGCACCGGCUAACUUCGUGCCAGCAGCCGCGGUAAUACGAAGGGUGCAAGCGUUAUCCGGAUUCAUUGGGUUUAAAGGGUGCGUAGGCGGAGCGUUAAGUCAGUGGUGAAAUCCUGCAGCUUAACUGUAGACUUGCCAUUGAUACUGGCGCUCUUGAGUGCGCUUGAAGUGGGCGGAAUGUGUCGUGUAGCGGUGAAAUGCUUAGAUAUGGCACAGAACACCAAUUGCGAAGGCAGCUCACUAAGGCGAUACUGACGCUGAGGCACGAAAGCGUGGGGAUCGAACAGGAUUAGAAACCCUGGUAGUCC
RNAcentral lists this ribosomal RNA (445 nucleotides) under uncultured bacterium. Its description in RNAcentral is "bacterial SSU rRNA". It matches the Rfam family "Bacterial small subunit ribosomal RNA", at positions 354 to 796 of the family's 1533-position model. The record is from RNAcentral.